CCUUGGCCAUGCGGAUGGGCAGGCGAGUGAACGGGAUCGGGUACCACAGUAAGAUGCCGGAGAUGUUGAAGAAAAAGUGGCACAGGGCGAUCUGCAACACAAGAGGUUGGACAGGCAAAAGCACCAACACGGAGAGCCAGUUGAAGAAGUCAUGGACGGUGGCUCCUGCAAAAGCUCUAUGGGAGGGAAACCCCGACAGCCAGAUUAGUCACUAAGCAAGUGGGCACCAUGUGAGGUGGGUCAUUACCUGUAUCAUCUGCCACCCUGUGCUAGGUGUCACCUAUGGAAGUGUGCACAUGUAUACAAUCUCAUUUUUGUUCUCUCAUAGCGAUCCCCAAAGUGGCUGGUAUCUAUAUUCCCAUUGGCCAGAUGAGGAAGCUGCGGGCCAGCAAGCAUGUUACGGCUGGAAUAAUUAGCUCAGCAAUCACUGUUUUGAAGAAUUGCAUCAGGGCACUUUUGUAUCAUGUAUAUUGAAGGCUACCUUCUUUUGGAAAGGUGGGGACCAGUAUGAAGGCAAUCAAAGCCCUCUAUGCUGGAGUUUUCAAUUGUUUCAAACACAUAGAAAUUAUAAAUCCCCAAAGCGAUGGGCACCUCAAAUACCCUGAUUUGAUCACUACACAUUCUAUGAAUGUAACAAAAUAUCACGUGUAUCCCAGAAAGGUGUAAAAAUAUUUUGUAUCAAUAAAAAAAUUUAACUUAGAAA
Long non-coding RNA from Symphalangus syndactylus (siamang), 703 nucleotides. RefSeq lists it as uncharacterized. NCBI's taxonomy places the organism in Eukaryota, Metazoa, Chordata, Mammalia, Primates, Hylobatidae. The record is from RefSeq and is a predicted model, not a curated record.